RNAcentral lists this ribosomal RNA (1387 nucleotides) under uncultured bacterium. Its description in RNAcentral is "bacterial SSU rRNA". It matches the Rfam family "Bacterial small subunit ribosomal RNA". The record is from RNAcentral.
GAAUUCGCCCUUAGAGUUUGAUCCUGGCUCAGGACGAACGCUGGCGGCGCGCCUAACACAUGCAAGUCGAACGAGCGAGAGAGAGCUUGCUUUCUCGAGCGAGUGGCGAACGGGUGAGUAACGCGUGAGGAACCUGCCUCAAAGAGGGGGACAACAGUUGGAAACGACUGCUAAUACCGCAUAAGCCCACGACCCGGCAUCGGGUAGAGGGAAAAGGAGCAAUCCGCUUUGAGAUGGCCUCGCGUCCGAUUAGCUAGUUGGUGAGGUAACGGCCCACCAAGGCGACGAUCGGUAGCCGGACUGAGAGGUUGAACGGCCACAUUGGGACUGAGACACGGCCCAGACUCCUACGGGAGGCAGCAGUGGGGAAUAUUGCACAAUGGGGGAAACCCUGAUGCAGCGACGCCGCGUGGAGGAAGAAGGUCUUCGGAUUGUAAACUCCUGUUGUUGAGGAAGAUAAUGACGGUACUCAACAAGGAAGUGACGGCUAACUACGUGCCAGCAGCCGCGGUAAAACGUAGGUCACAAGCGUUGUCCGGAAUUACUGGGUGUAAAGGGAGCGCAGGCGGGAAGACAAGUUGGAAGUGAAAUCCAUGGGCUCAACCCAUGAACUGCUUUCAAAACUGUUUUUCUUGAGUAGUGCAGAGGUAGGCGGAAUUCCCGGUGUAGCGGUGGAAUGCGUAGAUAUCGGGAGGAACACCAGUGGCGAAGGCGGCCUACUGGGCACCAACUGGCGCUGAGGCUCGAAAGUGUGGGUAGCAAACAGGAUUAGAUACCCUGGUAGUCCACACCGUAAACGAUGAUUACUAGGUGUUGGAGGAUUGACCCCUUCAGUGCCGCAGUUAACACAAUAAGUAAUCCACCUGGGGAGUACGACCGCAAGGUUGAAACUCAAAGGAAUUGACGGGGGCCCGCACAAGCAGUGGAGUAUGUGGUUUAAUUCGACGCAACGCGGAGAACCUUACCAAGUCUUGACAUCCUGCGACGCACAUAGAAAUAUGUGUUUCCUUCGGGACGCAGAGACAGGUGGUGCAUGGUUGUCGUCAGCUCGUGUCGUGAGAUGUUGGGUUAAGUCCCGCAACGAGCGCAACCCUUAUCUUCAGUAGCCAGCAAUUCGGAUGGGCACUCUGGAGAGACUGCCAGGGAUAACCUGGAGGAAGGUGGGGAUGACGUCAAAUCAUCAUGCCCCUUAUGAGCAGGGCUACACACGUGCUACAAUGGCGUAAACAAAGGGAAGCGAGCCUGCGAGGGUAAGCAAAUCUCAAAAAUAACGUCUCAGUUCGGAUUGUAGUCUGCAACUCGACUACAUGAAGCUGGAAUCGCUAGUAAUCGCGAAUCAGCAUGUCGCGGUGAAUACGUUCCCGGGUCUUGAAAUCACCGCCCGUCA